GAUGAACGCUGGCGGCGUGCCUAAUACAUGCAAGUCGAGCGAACAGACGAGGAGCUUGCUCCUCUGACGUUAGCGGCGGACGGGUGAGUAACACGUGGAUAACCUACCUAUAAGACUGGGAUAACUUCGGGAAACCGGAGCUAAUACCGGAUAAUAUAUUGGACCGCAUGGUUCAAUAGUGAAAGACGGUUUUGCUGUCACUUAUAGAUGGAUCCGCGCCGCAUUAGCUAGUUGGUAAGGUAACGGCUUACCAAGGCAACGAUGCCUAGCCGACCUGAGAGGGUGAUCGGCCACACUGGAACUGAGACACGGUCCAGACUCCUACGGGAGGCAGCAGUAGGGAAUCUUCCGCAAUGGGCGAAAGCCUGACGGAGCAACGCCGCGUGAGUGAUGAAGGUCUUCGGAUCGUAAAACUCUGUUAUUAGGGAAGAACAAAUGUGUAAGUAACUAUGCACGUCUUGACGGUACCUAAUCAGAAAGCCACGGCUAACUACGUG
RNAcentral lists this ribosomal RNA (497 nucleotides) under uncultured bacterium. RNAcentral describes it as "partial 16S ribosomal RNA". It matches the Rfam family "Bacterial small subunit ribosomal RNA", at positions 28 to 507 of the family's 1533-position model. The record is from RNAcentral.